GCACUUUCUUUUCCUAAGCAAGGGGGACAGCACUUUUGAGCACACUGCUCUUGCAUUUUCUGGGGAUAGAAAUGAAAAGUAGGGAGUUGCAGCCAGAAUAUUAAUUUGUCAUGCCACUCAGCUAUGCUUCUGGCCCCUCUUCUGUUUUCAGCUUCUCCUCUGUUUGCAGCUUCUCUUCUGUUGCAGCUCUCCCCCCAGCAGCUCCAUCUUUGUUAUUGAAUUGUCUCUCUUGGGGAAAACCCAGUUUCACUGCUCAUGGCCAGAGGCCUGGUGGCUGGGUGGUGGCUGAUCUCUUGGAUUUAAGUUAGUUUGGGUCCACUGUUUCUUUGAACGUGUGCGUGUGCGUGUGUGUGUGUGUGUUGAUGCCUUUAGCAGUUAAUUCCACAUUUUAAUUACUUUUUCAUAAGAAAAUAGUGUCUGAUUAGUUCAUAUAAACUGCUUCAGUUUCUCUUGUUUUGUGCGUAUAAAGAAAAGAUCACUGCCUACCUACAUCUUUUUUGUAAAUUAAGGACAAUUUCCUGGAAGAUGUCUUUGAAGGAUAGUGAGAAAACACUAAAGGAGGUUCCCAGCUAGAGAGCACCAGUCCCACCUUACUGUUAAUAACAAUAGAGCCAUCCCCUUGCAGUGUUACUGUAGAUUUUAAGGGGAGGAUAGCAUGUAAAACAGAAAUUGUGAACAGGAUUGACCCCAGAGUCAGUUGGCUGGGGAUGGAGGUCAGUCUUGCCUAGCACACAGAGGCCCUGGAUUCAGUACAGUUCAGGGGUGCCUAACUAGAGCAAAUCCUCCUGUAACCUGAAAAUGAUUUUGUUUCCACAUUUUUUUCCCCAAGCCCAUAUGUGGACCGGAGGUAUGUUUGCUACAUUAAUAGAUUAGCUCUCCAUUGUCCUGCUUGGCGCUGUUUCUGUCUUUCACAUAUGAUGGUGUACAUUAGAUCACUCGGUCAUUAUUACUGAAUUCUAGGCAGGACUUUGUUUUCUAAACACAUAUUCCUUAGGCUUUAAGCUCUGAGUACCCAUCUGCACCUAUGUGCCUUUGUGGGUGUUUUGCUUGCUGAGAAAUCGGUACAGCACAGCCUCUCUUCCAAUUGUAUUUUUUUUUCUUAUGUUGACAGUAGUUCACGUUGAAAAGGAAAAUGCCAUUUCUCUCUUGUUAAUGGCCAAAUUGGAAGCAGAAUUAUACUAGGGGAGCUUGAGAAUGUGUUGUAAGUGGAGGAGCAUGAAUCAAGAGAACCACAAUUAAAACCACUUAUCCCGUAGCCGUAUUUCCCAAACACAAUGACAGCCUUCAAGCUGAUCAUGGGAUUACAGAAAUUGAGUGGAAUAAAACCUCAUUCAUUGCAUCAGUCUGUGUUUUGCCAUUUUGGGUGCACUGUUCUCUCUGCACUUCUUAGUAUUGGUGGGAAAAUUUGGUCAAAAAGAGUUCUCUCUCUCUCUCUCUCUCUCUCUCUCAUUUAGUUGCAUGAUCUUCAGAAGCAAAGGCAAGUAGUCAUUAAUUUCCAUCUGAUAGGGCAGAACUUUUUCUGUGGCUAAACAAUUGAAACAGGAAAUGACCCAAGAUACAGUUUCCAUGACACCCUGUCGCUUGGAUCCAGUUUUUCCUGAAGAUGAAAGACCAAAGCCGCCUUUUGAUACCAAGUAACUAAUUGGACUGGCUGAUAGUGGGAGGGUUUUUUUUUUUUUAAUAUAAUGUGAAAAAUAAAGGAGAAAAAACUAGAACAGCUGUGUUUUGGUAUAGUUGUCUAAUCCCCAGAUAAAACACUCCAAGGACAUUGGAAUUGAAUGGUGCCUUUGUGGGGGGGAGGGGCUUAGUUUCUAAAAUCUGUCAAAGCACGGAAUGUAUUUAUGUUAAAGAGCAAAAAGAAGAAAGGGGGAAAUCAGAGCUUCGAUACCAGGUGAUAGCUUUUCAAGAAUGAUCUUUGUUUAUGCAGAGUAUGAUGUCCUGUUUUAAGAUUCUCUCUUGAAGGUGCUAAGAGAUUGGCUAGGUUGUUGUCGUCUAGAGUGUUUGUUUAUAUUUCUGCUCCGAGCUGGCUGUGAGAGCUGGGGUUGCUGAGAGCUGGGGGAACUGAGCCUCUGUUCCUGUGUUUCCCUUUCUCUUGUAAAUGAAGCGCUGGUUGUAGAGCUUCAAGCCCUACUACUCUUCCACUUCAGAAAUUUCCCACCCACCCCAACCCCCUACUGAAAUGCUGGCUCUACUGAUCACAAAGGCAUGCAUAUGAAAAGCUUCAAAUACGUUUAAAUGGAGAAAACAUCUAUUUUCCUUGAAAGGGAGGCAAUGUCUUCUCCAUGUCCACUGAUGGCGUACCUAAGAACCAUGUUUUCUUACAUUGGAACCCUGAAGAAGACAGUCUUUGUUUGACCUAAUGAAUCUUCUGUGUCCUGGGGCUCAGUGGUGGGCUGCUUGCCUGGCUCGCACAGGCCAUUGAGUUCAGCCACAACACUUUGAAAGAAAUAACUAAAGAGACGUGUAUUUUUUUCUAAUUCCUCACUCCUCUUGUGAAUGAGCCAGAACCCUGUCUCUGUCAGUUUUCCACCAGUUAGAUUUAUUUGGUGGAUUCAAUUCCCCCCCUCCCCCCAAGACAGGGUUUCUCUGUGUAGCCUUGGCUGUCCUGGAACUCACUUUGUAGACUAGACUGGCCUCGAUCUCAGAAAUCCGCCUGCCUCUGCCUCCCAAGUGCUAGGAUUAAAGGAUUGUUUCAUAGCAAAGUACCUGCCUAGUUUCUUUUACUUUUGCCAAUCAGAGGAGUAGAAGCAGAUGUUCACACUGAAAUCCUACUAUAUUUAGGUGGUAAGUGUAAUACUAAAAAUAUAGACUGACUGAGGUGUAACUGUGGACCAAUUACUUGGUUCUAAUUUUCUCUUUUCUAGUUGUGCCUACCUUUGGGCUGACUGCAAAUUGCAUGAGAUUUGGGGCCUCCUGACAUUGUGUCUGCCCCAUGGGUGACAUGAAUUAGAUGUUUAAAGGGGUGGAUGCUGACAGUGGGGUGCUGUACAUGGAUCCCAAGUUGGGUGGGUCGGAGAUUCCUUCUUCUUAUAGCAACAUCUGGUUUUAAGUCACCAUCUUCAACUGAGGAAGACAUUCAAGUAGUGUUGUCAAAGCCAUGGAUAUUACUGUUUGGAUGUUUGACUCACUGAAUAGCUUGGGCAUUGUUGGGGCUCUGUAGUGGAAGAGUGAAGAUUCCCUUCCUGUAGCUGUCCUAGCUACAGUGGCUCCUGGAGUCCUCUGGGUUGGCUGAGUAGCCUGGCUAGGUACCCAAGAUUCAUGUCUGUGAGCUAAACCUGAAUCUUUAUACUCUGUGACAGGUCCCUACUGCCUCUGCUUCCCUGAGCAGCAUUUCUUUUUAGACACCCUCUCCCAACGCCACCCUCCUUUUGCAGGACCUCCUGCCUGAGGCUGUGCCCUGACUAGUAGAGCUGUACGUAGCCAUUAGUCCAGCUCUUUGCUUGUGCCUCAUGUAGGUCCUAUCCUACUUAGUUGUUCUAGGUCUGAGCUGCCUGCUGUGUCCCCUUGAUGCCCAGUCAUUUGUUCUCCUUACAGGUACCUUAUCUGCCCUCUGAGAGGGGCACUGGUGAGCUGGCUGCAUCACACAUACACAGACAUACUAAGUUCUCUAAAAGACUAUCAAAAAUAGGCUUUUAAUUAUUUUAAAAGAUGUGUGUGUGUGUGUGUGUGUGUGUGUGUGUGUGUGUCACUGGAGUUGGAGUUAUAAAUUGGUUGUGACUCACCUGCCAAAGGACCUAGAAAGGAAACAUGGGUCCUAUGGAAGGAGCAAUGCUCUUAAUCCCUGAGCUAUCUCUGUAGUCCCAAUGGGACCUUU
RNAcentral lists this long non-coding RNA (3814 nucleotides) under Mus musculus (house mouse). RNAcentral's name for it is "long non-coding RNA chr4:100809938-100813752". The record is from RNAcentral. Lineage: Eukaryota; Metazoa; Chordata; Mammalia; Rodentia; Muridae.